Molecule: long non-coding RNA, 3867 nt
Filed under: Homo sapiens (human)
Lineage: Eukaryota; Metazoa; Chordata; Mammalia; Primates; Hominidae
Description: non-protein coding LINC02487:5
Source: RNAcentral
GGUCUAUGGUUGCAGCUUUUAGGAGGCCACGGCUUUUACUCCCAACAGGCCCACUGAGACUAAUGGGGCCACACUACUGGGAGGGGGCAGUGUUUCUCAAAGCAUGGUCUUUAGACCGUCUGAGUGAGAAACCCCGGGGCAAUGAUUUCGCUGGUUCCCAGUCAGAUCUGCCACUGCCGAAUCUGUGAUGAGGCCCAGAAAGCUCCUGACAGACGGUGCCUCUGUGUGCAGCAACAGGAGACCACGGCGGUCUCACCUGGAAACUCUUCCACAGUUGUCAUUUCAGCAGCGCUCCACAAGUGAUGGAGUUGACUCCCAUCAGAGCCCUCCUGGACAUGAACUCCUGAGUGCCAGAAACAAGAUUCAUUUAAAGAUACAACUGUGAACGCUGCUGACCACAUUCCAGCGCAGUGUGGAUGUUCAACACCGAAGGGAGGGGACUCGGGCUUGGAUCUGCAGCUAGCAUUGGAUGGACACAGAAUCCUGAACUAUGCAUCGUGCUUUAGCUGCCAUGAAAAUUGAUUUUUUUUUUUUUCAGAAAGGAAUGUGCCAAUGAUGGGACUUAAGCUGGUGAAAACCACGUGGAACGGGAUGCUCAUGGGACCUGCCCCUUGGAGCUCCAGGCCUCCAGGCCUCAGUGCUGGUUUUCCUAAGUCCUUAUUUUCUCCCGUGUUUGGCUGGGGGCUGGUCCGACUUCUCCCUUUGGUGGACUCUCAGUUGUCAAGUGUGAAGUCUUUGAACUGCACACAAGAGUGGGGACAACGUUUCUAUCUGCAAAUCAAGCAAGCGCUUGGGCGAACAUCUUCCCAAGGCAGAGAUGAAGAAUGGGUACUCUAGGAUGCUCCAUUUUGGGACAAACGUCUAGUGGGGCCACAUUUGCAUGGCAACAUGCCAUUUCCACUUUUUCCGUAUUUAGAAGCUUCCCAUGGAGCUCCCGCUGACAGGAGCCACUCAUGUGCACACUGAGUGGAGGCUCAGAAGGAGGAUUUGUCGUAGAGUUGUUUUUCAGAGGCUGGGAGUCAGGGCUGAGGGCCAGCGGGUGGCUCUGCACCCCCAUCCCUCCAUCCCCUGUGGAAUGCCAGGAGUUCUCUUCUCCGUCCCUCAUGCGUGAUGGGGGACAAAUGUCUCCUCACCGGUGACAAUAAUGACAGGCUUCUGUCCAGAGGCAGGAGGGGGGCCAGUAUCAUGCACUGAAGAAACUUUCACAGCACAGUUGUCUGAGACAGGGAAACCCACACGCAGACGGCCAGGGGACCUUGACCUCCUUAGCAAACAGGAAACAAAGUGCUCUUGUUCUCAGGCCGGAAUGAAGCGGCUGUGCGAACACAUCCCAAUUGUACAUCUGAUGCUGACUCACACAGAGCGUUUCCAUUUUUAGAUUUCAGCUACAGAAGGCAGGAAUCCUUUGGACUUGGCCCUUUAUCAGUGGAAUGGACAGAGCAGCUCUCGGUGGGGUCUCUGUUGGGAAUGCCUGCUGAGACGGGACCAAGGACGGCUGCAGGAUGUGGUGUCUGUGCUCAGCGUCACCUCCUCCCAGGCUCCUGGGAAGCACCUGAGCAUCUCCUGACAAAGCCACCAUGAGCAAGACCCUCAGAGAAGGUAUGAAGAUGAGAGGCUGGUGUGAAGAGGCUGCUGUGAAGCAACUAUAUAGCAUCGGGCAGGACAUAAGGGGAAAUUGUUGCUUUCAUGUUCCUUUACCCCCACAGUUUGGAUUUCUGCCACAAGGAUCACUGUGGUCUUCCUCCCUGGGGCUCACUCCACCUACCCCACACCUCCCACCUCCCCCGUCCUCUCUUGGGGGACUUCCUGAGUUCUCGACAGAGCAGUUUCACUGUCUUCUCUCCACGCUUCCUGGACUGGCCCGCCCAUUUUUUUCUAUGACCCAGAAUUCCUUCCCAAAUAAGAGCGUCAUAUUCCUUGAGCCCCUUCACUAGAAGCAAGGAGAUGGGCAGGCGUUGAACUGCGGCUUUUCUCUAGACUCUUCCCUAAUCCCUAGGUUCCCCCAACUAUUUAGUCUAGAGCAAGCCCAGGAACAGUGAUUUUUUUUUUUUAACCUGCCAUUUCUGUUAUUCAAGCUGUUUUAGUCAGUUCAGGCUGCUGUAACAAAAAUGCAAUGGCCUGGGUGGUUUUAACAACAGAAAUGGAUUUCUCACAGUUCUUGUGAGGCUGGGACGCAGGAACCCCCACAUCCAAGUGCCAGGCAGUUCCGUGGCUGGGAGGGCUCCAGACUGGUGUGUGGAUGGCACCUUCUGCUGUGUCCUCACAUGGCUGAGAGAUGGGUCAUCUCUGUUCUUAUCAGGGCACUAAUCCCAUUCACAAGGCCCCCCAUGACCUAAUCACCUCCUAAAUGCCCCGCUUCCUAAUACCAGCACCUUGGAAAAUAGGGCUUCAAGAUACAAAUUUUGGGGGACUCAAACAUUCCAUCCAUAGCACCCGCUCAUGUGCUGUGAUGUCCAGUGAGCAGGCGGAGUUCCAGGGCUGGUCAGUGCCAGGUGCUCCUUCUCCCACCCGAGAACAGGGGCCAGGUUGCUCCUCAGGCACCCUGGGCAACUGCCCCUUCCCUUCCAGUGGGGCCUGACCUGGCUACCGAGCUUGGCAGCUAAUAGGCGGGCCCCUCAGCAUUCACGCUCCUGAGCUGCUUUAUCAAACUAGGAUUGUUCCCCCAGGUCUAAGAAAACCAUCCAUUCACUGCAAAGUUAUUUAUUACUGCGGAUGGGCUAGGAGUUAGAGGAAGAGAGUGACUCAAAUCACAACACCUCCUGGACGAAGCUGGAAGGGAUUAAAAUACGGCCUAAUUUCUCCCUUGCUGUGUGAAGCGUGUGGUUCUCCUAGAACAUCAGCCCGACUGUCGCUGGGUAGCGGCGGUACUGUUCAUUCUGCAUUAGCUUUGUCCAGAUUGUUCAGUGUGGGUCCCUGCCUACAGAUCUUGAUUCCUUGAGAUUGCCCUUUGUGCUUCUGUCUGGGGACUGCCUGUUUCUGUAAUGGCCACCGUCUCAGAACACAUGGUUGUAGGCCUCAGCAUUUGCCUUACACACAGCCCCCUUGGAGACAAACCGUGUCUGUGUCCCUCAGAAGGCCCUGACUUUCAGGGCACACUCCAGCCUGACUUUGGCACUCUGCUAGACACAUCCGAAACGCUGGUUCUCGUGUUGAAGUCUGUUAUGGAUAUGUAGGGUAAGGCAGGGAAACUGGAGCGCCUGCAUACCCUUGACUUCCUCCAUUUGGAAAAGAUAACCCUGAGACAUGGUGGAGGAGAAGGGGCCCUGACCUGUCAGCUACAUCUGGAUGUAACUCCCCUGAUGAAGAAAGUGCCAGAGGCAGCAAAGCAGCCCUUAUAGGGUAUUUUGUGCUCCCCCAACAGAGGAAGAGGAGCUUAGGGUCUCCAGGGAGAAUGUCUGGUUGUGAAGAGCCGCCAGGACCUGGAGCUGCACGGUUGCUCAGUGUGCAUUUCACUUGGUCAGCCCCUACGCUGGAGAGUGCUUGCAUCCGAACCUUCAGUGCCUGGAUAGACACUGAGCUGAGCGAACGGUAUGCUGGAAAAUGAAGCGUGCAAGUGACAAAGUGCUCAACUUAGACUCUGGGCAAAAUUCUCACAAAGGGCUUUCUAAUCCUCACUUAAUGGAAGAGUGGAGCAAUUUCCAGCAGAAGUUGUGGCUUGCUUCACCAGGUCUGCUCAGGUCAGCGGGGUGAGCCUACGGCCAGGAUGGGUGGUAAUUAAUAUUGGAAUACUUGGCCAGUCUGCAGACCUCAGACCACAAAAAACCCUCCAUCCUCAAGCAGUCUCUUCUUUAUGCCUCGCAAGGGGAAGAUAAUUAAAGACUGUGGUAACGGGUUAAUUUAUAGGAAAAUAAUGUAGCAUACUCAACU